AUACGGAGGAUGCGAGCGUUAUCCGGAUUUAUUGGGCUUAAAGGGUGCGUAGGCUGUGCGUUAAGUCAGGGGUGAAAUGCCGUCGCUCAACGACGGAGCUGCCCUUGAUACUGGCGUGCUGGAGUACGGAUGACGGUGGAGGAAUGAGUGGUGUAGCGGUGAAAUGCUUAGAUAUCACUCAGAACACCGAUUGCGAAGGCAUCUGACGAAUCCGUCACUGACGCUGAGGCACGAAAGCGUGGGGAUAGAACAGGAUUAGAUACCCUGGUAUUCCACGCCGUAAACGAUGAUGACUAACCGUCGGCGAUAGACAGCCGGUGGCCAAGCGAAAGCGAUAAGUCAUCCACCUGGGGAGUACGUCGGCAACGAUGAAACUCAAAUGAAUUGACGGGG
RNAcentral lists this ribosomal RNA (393 nucleotides) under uncultured bacterium. RNAcentral describes it as "partial 16S ribosomal RNA". It matches the Rfam family "Bacterial small subunit ribosomal RNA", at positions 523 to 918 of the family's 1533-position model. The record is from RNAcentral.